This 5993-nucleotide long non-coding RNA is filed under the name Lingula anatina. RNAcentral describes it as "uncharacterized LOC106165129". Lineage: Eukaryota; Metazoa; Brachiopoda; Lingulata; Lingulida; Lingulidae. The record is from RNAcentral.
UAUCCUGGAAAGGAUGUAACUUACAAAUUCUUGUAACUUUUUAAGAGUAACAAAUAUUUUGAAGAAAAUUGUGUGUCCAAAAUUACAAACGCGCGUAAAUUGCUACAAACUGUUGUAAGUUACAAACAUUCGAUCAGGCGCGUCUUAUAAUGAGUACCAACAUAACACCAAGUUUUGCUGUCUAGAGAUCAGUGUACAGUGUCCUCUUAAGUACCGACUACUAACCCCUACAUUUAUUUGUAUCUUUUUAUACCUUCACGUAUACAAUAGCAUUGGCUUUCCAGCCAGGUGGGUUGCCAGAGUAGUCACUUUAAUUCAAUUACACAUAUGAUAGAGAAGACUUCCAGACUAAGUACUAAAUGACUUUUACUAGCAGACAAUAGGUUGUAAUUAACUAAUUGUAACUCUCUUAGCUCCUUUGUUCUUAGCAUGCCACAUGAUUUGAACUUUACUUGUUCCAAUCACUUUGGUAAUACCCCUAGUAAUAUCUAUCAUCUCCAGUUUAUGCAGCAAAGGCUCAAAACUAUUGUUUUACCAUUUUGCAUUUGGCUGGAGUUAAACACCCAAUGUUAACCUCAUUUUUAUUAAUCCCUCAAUAAGCCAAGAUAUACAUAGAUAUACAAGCCCUAUACAUACACAUGUGCCAGUGUUCGUUCAAUACAUGUACGCCUACAUUUUUUACAGAACAUUUUUCAGACGUCAUGAUAUCAAAAUAUACCUGUACAAAAAAUGAAGUGUUAAACAGAGUGGUGAACUAUCUGAAAUGGUCCCCUGAAAGAAAAAAUGGAGAAGGAAGAAAAUAACAAGAAACUAAUUGAACUACUGUUUUAACCUUCUGGUGAAUAUUGUUAUGUUAUUACAGCUCACACUUGAAAAUUGGCCUCAUCUGAAACCACUUUCUGUAAAAGCCAUAUGCUCUUAUUAUUAUUUUUUUUACCAAGCAUUUAACUGUAUAAAUCCAUGAUAAUUAACACAAUGGAACCAGUUUUACAUAAUAUUGUGUAUCUUACAGGAGCAUUUCAAAGAAACAGCCCAAGUUGAAAUAUGGUCUUUAUUGCACCAAUUUUACCAAAGUUAUCCUGUUGUCAUACAUAUACAAUGUAUGUUUCUGCAAUUUGAAUUUGUGUGCAUAAUAUGAGAUCACAUGAGAAGCAGAAUUAUCAAAGCGAUAGAUUUUUAUACUUUAAAAAUUAUGUCCCUUAUUUCUGACAACCAUAACAUGGCACAAACUUUAGGAAAAGAUGUAAAAAUUAUCGAAAAUGAAAUUCACUUUACAUCACUAGCUCUGGCCAAACUUUUUCACCAAUCUACACUUGCAACAAAACUUUCCAAUGAAAUUCACAAAUUUUAACUAGGAUUUAAUGAUCUCUUGUUAGGCAAACUGUCACCUCUUCUUGUUCCCCCUCAUGAUCUGAACAACAUUCUCAACAGCAUUCAAAACAAGUUAUCAAACACCACCUUAAAAUUGCAUAUCCAAAUAUACAGCAUGUCUAUUCUACAUCACACCCAACAGUUAGCAAACACAGAAACAAGAUUUUGAUCACCCUGCCAAUUCCACUGACUCCCUUUGUCCAACAAUUUACUGUUUAUUCUGCAAAAUCAUUUCCAGUCCCCGUCAUCAACAGCACAACUCAAAGUACACAUUUAAUUGACAUACCACAAUACUUUGCUACAAACAAGCCAGAUCAAACUUUUUACAUAGACAGUUUAGACCUGCAAUCAUGCAUGCACCAAUGCUCUCACUUUUGCCAUCUUCCAUACCUAAACAUUUUUCUUGCCUAUUGAAUAACUUGCUGCCAUGAUUUCAUGAGAAUAGAUCUUUGAAAAGUGAUGGUUUCCCACUGCUGACUGUGGCACAGACAGCGGACACUAGCACGUUUCACCAUACAGGGUUUGUUCCUAGGAACUGACAAUUACUAUACAUAUUAUGAAUUUAUUAAAAAGACUUAUGUAUGUACAUGUAAUGAGCCUAAUGAGUACAGGCUAAAGCAUAUUGGACUUGAAAACACAAGGACAUAUAUAAUAUAUGAACUAAUAGAAUUUCCUCAAUAUUAUAUUGACAUGUACAAGCUUUUUAUACACAUUGAUAUAUAUACAUAUGAUAUACUGUACAAUUUAAUUUCACUUAAGGAUCCGUGAUAGAUUUUUAUACUUAAAUUGGAGGACCAAUUAAAAAGAGGUGGAGGGUCAUAUCAUAGUGAUAGAUUUUUACUUUUUCAAAUAUAAUUAAAUCUUGUGCAAUAGAUAGAGAACUAGUGCAAUUCACAUUUACAUAGAUGAAACAUAGAUAGACAACAGGAUGUAGACAGAACGGGGACGGUAGACAGGAAAGGGGAUGUACAGUAGAUUGGAUAGAAUAGAAUAGAUAAGACGCUUCCUGUCAGGAAGUAUGGGGACCCUGGGGGGACCCCUACUUCUGGAUGGGUGUGUUCUUAACUUAGAUACUAACCAACAGAGUUUAAGUUAGCGGUAGUUGACAGUGAUUUGUAAGGUGGCAAGAGAGAGAUAUAGCAGUAGGUACAGACAUACAGAGAUAGCAGAGAGAGAGAGAGAGAGACAGCAACCACUGAGAAGUACAAUAAAAGGAGAAUAAAGAAGUCAACUUUAAGACAGAAAUAGUCUUGUGUUAGAAUCCUCCCCAGAAGUCAAUGCGACAGUUUCCUUCAAGAAGUCGGGACACAGUAUUCGAUUGUUUCAUAUAAUUCGGGUGUUUGUGUGAAUAGAAUAUUUUUCUACAUUUUCUCAUUGACCCAUGUUUGCAAAAGUGGCCCAUUAUUUUAAAGGGCCAUUGGCAAUUCUAAAUUCUCCCAUUUCAUAAGCAAAAUCCCUUUUUUUUACUGGAUCAUGUAAAUUAUCUUUAUAUUCUCUGUAGGGAUGUUUUUUUUUUAAUAUAAAACUUGUUCUCUUUUCUACAUAGAUUCAAGUACAGAAGUAAGCUUUAAAGAGUUUAUAUGGGAACAGCAUUAGGAAAGAUGGACAUGGAAUCCUAAUAAUGCAUGUCCUAGGACUUCCAUUCCUAGCAACGUAUUGUAAAGUAUGUGCCUCCUUGAUCUGAAACAUUACGCAACAUUUUCGGUAAUCUAGAAAACCACAUUAGUUAUUCAUUCAAGUGUGUGUUGACCAAAUCAUUAAGAAAGACCAUUUCCUUUUCGGCAAAAUUAAAUUUUUAAUGAUUUUCAUUUAUUCAGCCCUUUAGACAAGUACCUGCUUUAGGCACUAAUUAGAAAAUCAUUUAGCUGAUAAAUGAACCUUGACCACCAAUCAACCAUGACGCUAAUGAGAGGACGGCACAGAAAUAACCCUUUAAGUGACCUAACCCAGUCUUCCCCUCCCAGUGUCCGGGGCUCGGAUGAGUCCGGCCUGGGGUUCCAACCUCGGUACAUUUGUCACGUUAAUAGCUUGGCGUGACAAUGGUAGAAGAUAAGUUCUUUUAAAUUACUAACUUAAGUAUAUAUAAAGCAGGGAUUUUCCCUUAGCCAGUACUCAUUUAUUCAUUCUAUAUUAUUGUAUUUAAGCUCUCUGAUUUAGCAGCACUAUUGUAGUACCACUGGUUACUGAACUUUAUAGCCAAGACAAGACUGAUGUAGGAAUAAAAGUGUAUUUACUCAAGUGAUCAUUUUGUUACUGAAGAAGACCGCGCCAACUCAACACCGUGCGGCCGGGCUUGAUAAUCUUGCGUUCCGUUGUGCAUUGUAAGGUGUAAACUUUACAGUAUGCCCUAGGACUUGCAUUCCCAGCAUUGUCCAGUCAGACUUAUGUUAUUAGGACUACCAUUCCUUUGAUACCAGCACUUCAGCUGACAUGUACAGAAGCAUCUUAGCACAUAUCCGUGAAAAAGAAUACAAAUUAAAUAUUGACGAUAACAACCCCCGUCAAACAAAUACGUAAGGAGAGGAAUGUGAUUUGUCACGUGCAAAACACUCCAGGACCACAUGAUGGGGAUGAGACAGAUGUUAAAUCUGAGCUUACUUUUGUCAUCAAAUCCUAUCUGGCUGACAAUCCUGAUAUUGCAUGUGGUAGUAGGCCAAGUUUCAAGGUUAAAUUCUGUGGUGAUGGAACCACUAUAUCUAGAAAAUCUAAUAUGUGUGUCAUGAGCUUUUCUGUAUUUUCACCCCAACACCCUACUAUCAGUCCUAGUCCCCAUCAUGCGGUUGCAGUGGUUAAAAGUACAGAGAGUUAUGAAGUGUACAAGAAACCUGCCAUUGGAUCAUAGGGGGAAUCCCUACAUGUCCAAACCAAUCAAAUUUUAUGUAACAUUUCUACCUCCACCCUUUUUGGAGAACUGAAAUCUGGUGGCAACUAUGUCUUGCUGCCACUUGUCUACACCAAGUUUUGCUUGUGUUUAGUCGCAAGAAAGCAUAUGUAAAAUUGCACUUAUAUUUCCCCAGUUGAUUAAAGCAAAUAAUAUCCUUUGUAAAGACAGUACUUGGUUUAUGUUUGUGUAACAUUAAAGCAAUAUGCAUUGCCACUUUACUUUUGAUUUUUGAUUAAUGGUGCGAUUAAAUACAGGGACAAAUCUCUAUGGUGGGAAUGAGGAUAAGUUAUUCCGCAUAUUAUUAAGCAUUAUUUUCCAAACACAUUUGAAGAGGGACUGUAAAUUAAGUAGGCAGCGGUCCUUUUAGGCUGCCUGGGAGAAGGAACAUCCCUGGUGCAUGGAGCACUCAGCAUGACUACACUGCCCAACAGGGGGCUUAUAAGAAAUAUUCCAAGUUAAAGCUAAGGCAUGCAAAGAAAAACUAAAAGAAUUAGAUGCUCCAACCAUUCAAAAAAUUCAAAGAUAGACUGACAGUCCAUAUCACAACAAAACAGAUUAGAAAGUCCAUAUAUAUGAAGGCCAGUAAAAGGAGACAACAGUGCCAGCCAGUGUCUGCCUAGCAGCAGAAAUACCUUUUUGUAAAAUACCACUUUGGGAACAGCCUCCAGGUCUGCCAUCACUGGGAGAAGCAGUGUUUUGGGCAAUGGCACCUGGACCCAGCACCCCCUAUGUCACGCACCCAACCCCAGCAUCCAGCCUGGUUCCAAGCACUCCGGGGAACCCUCGGCCGUCAACUUGCAACCCAGCAGCAACAGUAGCUACCUCCGCGAUGACACCCGGACCCAGCAGACUCUACUUCACCCACCCAGCCACAGGAUCCAACCUAGUCCCAAGCACUCUGGGGAACCCACAGCUGUCAGUCCCCAGCACAGCAGCAACAGUAACCACCCCCGCGCAGCCUCGCCCGUUGACAAGCCCCAUGUUUAACAAAACAGAUUAGAAAGUCCAUAUAUAUGAAGGCCAGUAAAAGGAGACGACAGUGCCAGCCAGUGUCUCCCCAGCAGCAGAAAUACCUUUUUGUAAAAUACCACUUUGGGUAUUUUAUAACUGUUAAGAAUAUCCAAGAAUAAUUAAAAUAAUAUUCAAAGAAAACUUAAAUAAAGAUUAUUGCCUGUUCAUAAUCGGAUUUAUCAAGAUAAGGGGUCACUGCUGAGUCGCUUCCUGCAGCUACCGUUGUAAACAAUAUUACAUCAUAAGUCAUAGCAAUGUAACAAAUCGCGUCGCGAGUUUAAUACCACGUGACCAAAGAGAGCGAGGUUUAAUUGAGGCGAUACCCUGGAUAUCACUUGCUAGCCUGCCACAAAGCUGACUAGACGCAUACAACCAACAAUUGCCAAUUUGACCAGUGUACCAGAACACCAAGUAAGGGUAAGAGACAAAUCCUUGAUUUAUUUUUGGGCCGCUAAAAUCCCCUCGGCACUUUCUGCAGACUAGAUUAGCUAUUACACUAUACGCGUAGUAGAAAACAGCGUGCUGUAUAUGCCGCGUUUUCAAAACUUUAUCCAGCGAGUCUUUAUGGCCUAAGGUUUAUUUUGCCAGGAAAUUAGCUGCAUGCUUAGCCUUUCUUAACUCAUAUCAACAGACACCUGUUAUCUUACAACCAUGCCAGCACUUAUAGGCGCCCAAGCGUGCAUGCACGAUGCAUGCACACACACACAAGCACAAAAAAAAAAAAAAA